Molecule: unclassified non-coding RNA, 263 nt
Filed under: plant metagenome
Description: partial contains small subunit ribosomal RNA, internal transcribed spacer 1, and 5.8S ribosomal RNA
Source: RNAcentral
UUUCCGUAGGUGAACCUGCGGAAGGAUCAUUAUUGUAUAACCGAGGUGCGAGGGCUGUCGCUGACCCUAAAGGGCGUGCACGCCCGAGUGCCCUCACACACAUCCAUCUCACCCCUAUGUGCACCACCGCGUGGGUCCCCCUUUGGCUUGUUCGGAGGGGGGCUUACGUUUUCACACAAACUUUGUAUGCAGUGUAGAAUGUAUUUUUUGUUUUUGCGAUCACGCAAUCAAUACAACUUUCAACAACGGAUCUCUUGGCUCUC